Molecule: long non-coding RNA, 324 nt
Filed under: Elaeis guineensis (African oil palm)
Lineage: Eukaryota; Viridiplantae; Streptophyta; Magnoliopsida; Arecales; Arecaceae
Description: long non-coding RNA (EGUI_LNC027021)
Source: RNAcentral
ACAGACCCAUCAUGAUUUUUGUUGCUUUGAGGCAAUUUUUGUUUGCAAAAGUUUGAGACAGAUCUAUUUACAAAUCACGAUUUCUAGUGACGCACCCAGAGACACACCUCCAUUUCUCCUCUCCCCUUUUCUUCUCUUCGAUUUUCUCUGGAGGACAUCUUUUCGUGCCUUUGUUGAGGUCCCUUCUUCCUAAUGAAGUGGCGGACAUAGACGAAAAUGUGGAAGUCGAUAAGGUUGGCGAUGGGAGGGCACAGAGGAGGUCGUCGCUUAUGGGAAUGGUGUAGAAAAAUCCAAACUUUACCUUGGGAAAACAUUUGCGGAGGA